UAUUGCACAAUGGGCGCAAGCCUGAUGCAGCCAUGCCGCGUGUAUGAAGAAGGCCUUCGGGUUGUAAAGUACUUUCAGCGAGGAGGAAGGCGUUAAGGUUAAUAACCUUGGCGAUUGACGUUACUCGCAGAAGAAGCACCGGCUAACUCCGUGCCAGCAGCCGCGGUAAUACGGAGGGUGCAAGCGUUAAUCGGAAUUACUGGGCGUAAAGCGCACGCAGG
RNAcentral lists this ribosomal RNA (221 nucleotides) under Klebsiella aerogenes. RNAcentral's name for it is "partial 16S ribosomal RNA". It matches the Rfam family "Bacterial small subunit ribosomal RNA", at positions 362 to 575 of the family's 1533-position model. The record is from RNAcentral. Lineage: Bacteria; Pseudomonadati; Pseudomonadota; Gammaproteobacteria; Enterobacterales; Enterobacteriaceae.